UGACCUUACCUUUAACCGUUGCUUCGGCGGGCGGGCCCUGCGCCCCCCGGGCCCCCCUCGCGGGGGGCGCCCGCCGGAGGUCUCCCAAACUCUUGAUACCAUGUGGCCUCUCUGAGUAUUCUGUACUGAAUAAGUCAAAACUUUCAACAACGGAUCUCUUGGUUCUGGCAUCGAUGAAGAACGCAGCGAAAUGCGAUAAGUAAUGUGAAUUGCAGAAUUCAGUGAAUCAUCGAAUCUUUGAACGCACAUUGCGCCCGCCAGUAUUCUGGCGGGCAUGCCUGUCCGAGCGUCAUUUCAACCAUCAAGCCCCCGGGCUUGUGUUGGGGACCUGCGGCUGCCCGCAGGCCCUGAAAACCAGUGGCGGGCUCGCUGUCACACCGAGCGUAGUAGCAAUCACCUCGCUCAGGGCGUGCUGCGGGUUCCGGCCGUUAAACAGCCUUACAAAACCCAAGGUUGACCUCGGAUCAGGUAGGAAGACCCGCUGAACUUAAGCAUAUCA
This 499-nucleotide ribosomal RNA is filed under the name Acrophialophora sp. RNAcentral's name for it is "eukaryotic LSU rRNA". The stretch from base 139 to 292 matches the Rfam family "5.8S ribosomal RNA". Lineage: Eukaryota; Fungi; Ascomycota; Sordariomycetes; Sordariales; Chaetomiaceae. The record is from RNAcentral.